Molecule: long non-coding RNA, 6011 nt
Filed under: Sorghum bicolor (sorghum)
Lineage: Eukaryota; Viridiplantae; Streptophyta; Magnoliopsida; Poales; Poaceae
Description: long non-coding RNA (SBIC_LNC001824)
Source: RNAcentral
AAACAUGCUAAACAAAAUCAACACAUGGCCUCACAAGAAUAAUUUGAAACUGGAAAAAGCUAAUAUUUUUAGCUUCACCUCGUACAAAUCUUUUGCGAGAGCAUAUUUCUUAAAAAAAUAUCCAUUUAAUAUAAAAAAAAUUCAAACAGCUCUGUCGAUGUUUUACCACUAAUAGCCUACGACGGGAGUAAUCAGAACAUUUGUUCGGGCUUCGAUGUAUGUUGGAACUUAACAACAAACACAAGAGACAGACGAUUUAUCCUAGUUUAGACUUUCGAGUUUAAUCUCGAGUAGUAGCCUUUAUGUCCGAUCGGCGUUAGACUUUGCGUUGUAUUGGGUGUAUUGUAUUGUUCGUAGUUAUAAGAGCAAGGCUAAUGAUUUAGCCGGCUGAAGGCUGUAUAGCAAUGCCAUGUCACAUAAAGCCCCUGCUACAGCCGGCUCAUAUAAUAGGUUGGCUGUUAGGCUAGUUGUAUUACAGAGCUAAUAUUUAAUGACUGAAGAUGUAUAUCAUCUGCUGUUGUCUGUAUCUUUGUAGCCAUCCAUCAAACUACUAAGGUCGCUUGUUUGAUAAUCAAGAUAAAGGCUUCACAGAUUGCCAUGCUGCUCCAUCGAUGGCCGGUUUUGAUGACAGGCAGUAGUCAGGAAAGAACAGAGCAAUAUUCCUAAAAUUAAAAAAAUUCAAAUACAUCUCACUAAAGAAUAAUCAGGUAAAAUUGAUGAGCAAUGGAAGAUGCAUAUUAUGCUUUGCAUUCAAGCAAUAGGUCCGUACGACAUGAUAGGCUGAGGUUGCGAGCUUGCGGCGGCGGUCGGACAGGCUACCGCUGAGUGACGCCGGCAAGACCUCGAGAGGUAGUGAGGCACCGCGACGUCGCAGGUCGGUCCGAUGCCAUCCGCCAUGGCUGAAGAUUCGCCCCGCCGCCGAAGAGCAGCUAGUCGCCCAGCCCCGUGCGGUCCAGCCGCGCGGACGAGUCCCCACCGCCGCCGAGCAACCCAGCUUUGCGCGGCUCCGCCAGUGCUGCCGGACACGCAGCCACCGUACCCCAGCCCGUGCGGGCGCGCCCCACGCUGACACGAGAUUUGCCGUAGGAAGAGAGGGAAGGCGCGGAGUCCGCACGGGAUCGAGUGGGAGAAAACGUGAGGAGAGAAACGUCGGCUUAGCGCUUGCAGCUGGCUGGAAACGGGCGGUAUCAGGCUAUUCAGCCGGGGGAAGAGUUGGAUUCUUCCCGUCCGAACGUUCGGACGGGAGCGUCGGUCCGAUGAUUGCCGCGCGACGUUCCCGCGCGAUGGCCGUCCUCCCGCGCGUGGACGCGAGCAGCCGCUAGCACGGACGACGGUUUUUAUUCCAGGUAAGUGCGUUUGUUUUCCCUUUUGUUUCCUUUUUUUUUUCUUUUUUCCUUAUUUUAUCUUCUUUUCUUUUUCUUUAUUAUUUUUUCCCUCUCAUUCGCUGUUGUCUAGUUUUUUUCUUUUUCUUUAUGUUUCUUUUCCUUUUUUCUUGGUAUUUUUAUUUUCUUUAUUUUUUUUGUUUCUUUCCUUUUUUUUCUUAUUUUCUUUUUAUAGCUACAAUUUAAUUUUACUUUAACUUUUUUUGUUUAUCUUAUUUUUUGUUUUACUUUUUUCAUGUGAUUUACAUUAUUUUUUUAGUUUUUUAUCUUAUUAUUUCUUCUUUUUUGUUUUUACUACAAUUAACUAUUAUAUUUGUUUUACUUUAUUUAUUUUUAUAUUUUAUUCUUUUUUGUAUUUAUUUAUUUUUCUUUUAUCUUUUAUCUUUAUGUUUUCUAUAGUUCAUUAUUUUCUAUUUUUCAUUUUUUUCUUACAUAAAUAUUUUAUUUGUUUAAUUUUUUAUUUUUUAUUUUUUGUUUCUUCUCUAAUUAGGUUUUGUUUUAUUCAUGUUUUUUAUUUUUUUUAAUCUUUUUUAUUGUUUAACCUUUUUAUUUUUUCUUUUGUUUUUUUGAGAUUUUUCUUCUUUUCAAGCAUCUUCUAUUUUUAUUUCCUUUUUAAAGAUAUUUUAUGUUGUUUUUUUAUGUUUAUGUAUGAUGUUUUAUUUUUUUUAUGUUUACAUGAUAUAUGUAGUGUUUUAUGAUGUUUUUUUAUGUUCGCUAACAUACAUAUCAUGUUCUUGUAAUAUAUAUGUGAUGUUCUACAGUAUUUUUUGUGAUGUUCACAUAGUACAUAUACGAUGUUCUACGAUUUAUUUAGUGAUGUUCUAUAAUGUAUUUAAUGAUGUUCUAUGUUGUAUUUAGUGAUGUUCCAUUAGUAUAUAUGUGAUCGUCAUGUAAUAUAUAUACGAUGUUCUAUAAUAUUUUUAGUAUCAUAUAUUUAGGGGGUGUUUGGUUGCUACCCACAAUUUGCCACACUUUAACUUAGGCAAGUUUGACCAAGUUGGUAAGUGUUUGGUUCACAACUAAGCUUAGGCAUGAUUCUUUUGGGCUCCACAUGUCAUUGAGUUAAAAAGUGUGGCAAGAUUCCUUUAGGCAUGACAAAGUGUGGCAACCAAUUUGCUAGCCACACUUUUUGUGGCUUGCCACACUUACCUAAAGUUAGUUGUGGUAGAUUGUGGCUAGCAACCAAACAUCCUCUUAGUGAUGUUGACAUAAUAUAUAUGUGAUAUUCUGUAAUAUUUUAGGAAUGUUCUAUGGUGUAUUCUGUGAUGUUCGCGUAGUAUAUAUAUGUACGUUCUUACAGUAUACAAUGAUGUUCUAUGAUGUAUUUUAUGAUGUAUUUUCUUUUAUGUUUCUUUUAUUUUUCCCUCCCGAUCGUUGCUGUUAGUUUUCUUCUCUUUUUUUGUUUCUUUUUUCUUUUUUCUUUUUCUUUUUAUUUAUUUAUUUAUUUCCUUUUCUUUUUUUUCUUUUUUCUUUUAUUUUUUCUUAUUUUAUUUUAUUUUUCUUUAUCUUUUCAUUUUCCUUCCUGCCCGUUGUUGUAUAGUUUUCUUUUUUUGUUUCCUAUUUGUUUUUUCUUGGUAUUUUUCUUUAUUUUGUUUUUUUUUCUUUUUAUUUUUCCCUAAUUCAUGUUUAUAGAUUCAAUUUAUUUUUAUUUUUCUUUUAUGUUAUUUUAUAUUUUUAUCUUUCUUUUAUUUUUUCUCUUUAUUUUUUUAUUCCUUUUUGUGCUUCAUUUUUUCCCUUUCUUUUUUUCAAUUUUUAUUUCAUUCAUCUUUUUAUUUUUUUGUUUCUUUUGGCAAACAUUAAUUUAGUGCUGGUUACAAAGGUGUUUAUUAGAUUAUUUUUUGUGGAAUACAUACAUGCAUGUGAUUGAAACGCUACAAACGUCUUGAUAUUGAUCUUAUGGUGGUUGUUUAAUUUUUUUAGUGGACUAAUAUCAUAGGAAGCGAGUGAUAUUAUUUUUCGUUUCUGUUUCAUUCAAUUUUCCAUAUUAUUUUUAAUUUUAUUUUUUAUUACUAUCAUUAAUUAGUUUUAUUUAUUCUUUUUUAUUUCUUUUUUGUCUUUAUGUUUUUAUAGAUUUUUUAUUUUUCUACUUUAUCUUACUUAAUUAUUUUUUAUAUUUACUUUUUUCUUUUCUAUAUUUCAUGAGAUGUGAUGUAAAAUGAUGUUUUUUGCAGCGUUCAUGUGGUAUACAAUGCCAUUUUUUGAUGUUUUUUUAUGAUGUUUAUGUAGUAUAUGUAAUGUUCUAUGGUUUUUAUGAUGUUCAUGUGUUAUAUAUGUAAUGUUCUAUGAUAUUUUUUUAUGUUCGUGUUAUAUUUUUGUGAUGUUCUACGAUUUUUUUGUGAUGUUCGUGUAAUAUAUAUCUGAUAAUGCAAUAUUCUAUAUUGUAUUUGGCGAUGUUCUAUAUUGCAUUUGGUGAUGUUCGAUGGUUUAUUUAGUGAUGUUCACUUAGUAUAUAUGAUGAUGUACAUAGUGAUAUUCACGUAAUAUAUAUGUGAUGUUCUAUAGUGUAUUUAAUGGUGUUUUAUAUCGUAUUUAGUGAUGUUCUAUGAUGUAUUUAGCGAUGUUCAUGUUAAUGUUCGAUAGUGAAUUUAGUGACGUUCAUUUAGUAUACAUGUGAUGUUUUUUUUGAUAUAUUUAGUGAUGUUCAGGUAAUAUAUAUACGAUGUUCUAUAAUGUAUUUAGUAAUGUUCUAUGGUGUAUUUAGUGAUGUUCACUUAGUAUACAUGUGGUGUUCUAUGAUGUACUGAGUGAUGUUUAUGUAAUGUAUUUGUGAUGUUCUGUAAUAUAUUUAGUGAUGUUCCGUAAUGUAUUUAGUUAUGUUCACUUAACAUACAUGUGAUGUUUGCCUUUUAUUUUUUCCAUAUUCCAUUGUAUAUGGUAUACACAUGAUGAAUGAGAUACUGUAUGAUUAUCUUUAAGUAUUUUCACAACAUAUUAUGUAGUAUUCAUACAACAUGUUAUGUAGUAUUUAUACAACAUGUUAUGUAGUAUUUUCCCAUGGUCCAUAUGUUAUAUUAUACACAUGAUGUUCUACUUGUGUAAUGUUAUUUAUUAUAUAAUUAUAUAUUUUUAUUUUAUUUAUUUAUCGGUAUUAUAAUACCAAUCAUUUAAGUGUGUUUUCAUAUGGAUAUUGUUUUUUCUAAAUUUAAAAUAUUUUUUUGUGAAGGCGGAAUAUUGUUUUAUGAAUCUAGAACACCACCUUUAUUCAAUAAUAAAAGAAAAUAUUCUAUCUUUAUGAAAUACAUAUUCGUUAAUAGAAUAUAUUCAUGUUGAGAUCUUAUUUUGAAGCAUUUAGUAUAAGGAAUCCAAUAGUGCAAUCUGAAUUUAAUUUGGAUACUUGAUUUGCUAACUAUAACGAAGAUGGAACAUCGUCUCUUAUGAAGAUGGAACAUUAUUUUUUAAUGAAGAUGGAACAUCGUCGCCAUGUUUAUAAUACCAAUACGGUUCUUAGAAUAUUUUAUUAUGAAGAUGGAACAUUAUUUUUUAAACCUUAAACAUCGUUUAUCUUUAUAUGAUAAUUAUUCGUUAUUAAAAUUUUAUCUAAAUAUAUCCAUGUGGGAUCUUGUUUUGAAGGAUUUAUUACAAGAAAUCAAAUGGUGUAAUCGAAAUUUAAUUUGGAUAUUUUGUUUAGGAGUUAUGACUUUUUUUUCAUUAAAAGCAUGCGUUGUAGGUAACAAGGAUAUGUUGCUGCACUAUCACCUCGCACCAGCUGCGCAUGGUAAAGCCACGAGCCAAAUUUAAUUAGUAUGUGUGAGAAUAAAUAUUUACCAGCACCGGCCAUAGAAAAAGUACAUUAAAUGUCUAAUUUGGAAACAGUCUAAGAACGACGUGCGCUGCAGAGGUAAAUGUAAUUUUCGGCACUAAAACCGUGGGAAUCUAAAUAUAUUCAUGUGAGAUCUUAUUUUGAAAGAUUUAUUGUAAGAAAUCUAAUGGUACAAUCGGAAUUUAAUUUGGAUAUUUGGUUAAGAAGUUAUGACUUUUUUUAGUUCAUUUAAAAAUCAUUACGUGUAUGAGUCAGAGCUAACGUGGGUGUGUUGCUUUAUGUACUACUUGUACGAUAGCACAGCACGACGUGGAAAAAGGCUAAUAAAAAUAGAUUCGGGCGCCAUCAACCGGAAAAUUCCGAGUACCAUACGCGCGCAAACGUCUGACGCGGGAAAUUCGAGCGGGAAUCUGCCGGACAAAGGAUGCGGUCCGAACGGCCGGACCGCAAGAGCCCCCGGGAAGAGUUUACCGCCGGCUGGUUCUCUCUCCAUUUCUCUCUCUCUGCCACAUCAUGAUUUUUUCCUACAUAGCUUGGAUUCAGCCGGCUGAAUCAGCCUCAUCUUUAUAUUGGUAGAGAUAAUUGAGAGGUGACUUGCUAUUAUAGAUGAAUUCAAAGAUAGUGUUCUAUUUCUAAGGCCUUGUUUAGUUUGGAAAAAUUUUUGGAUUUCGCUACUGUAGCACUUUCGUUUGUUUGUGGCAAAUAUUAUCCAAUCAUAGACUAACUAGGAUCAAAAGAUUCGUCUCGUGAUUUACAGGUAAACUGCGUAAUUAAUUUUUGUUUUCGUCUAAAUUUAAUGCUUCAUGCAUGUGCCGCAAGAUUCGAUGUGACGGCUUGAAAAAUUUUGGAAACUAAACAAGGCCUAAUAC